GUCCUUUCGGGGACAUCCGAUAAAAUUGGAACGAUACAGAGAAGAUUAGCAUGGCCCCUGCGCAAGAAUGACAAGCAUAAAUUGGAACAAAAAAGGCCUUUUU
This is a small nuclear RNA of Rhododendron vialii, 103 nucleotides long. The record is from RefSeq and is a predicted model, not a curated record. Lineage: Eukaryota; Viridiplantae; Streptophyta; Magnoliopsida; Ericales; Ericaceae.